UUUUGACCUCAACUCAGUCGAGAUUACCCGCUGAACUUAAGCAUAU
RNAcentral lists this ribosomal RNA (46 nucleotides) under Philometra fujimotoi. Its description in RNAcentral is "partial 28S ribosomal RNA". The record is from RNAcentral. RNAcentral also lists the same sequence under 7 other names. Lineage: Eukaryota; Metazoa; Nematoda; Chromadorea; Rhabditida; Philometridae.